AGGGUUUGAUCCUGGCUCAGAACGAACGUUUGCGGCGUGGGUUAGGCAUGCAAGUCGAACGCGAACGUACCCUUCGGGGUGCUAGUAGAGUGGCGAAAGGGUGAGCAAUCCAUGGAUAACCUACCCGUGUGUGGGGGAUAACCACUGGAAACGGUGGGUAAUACCGCAUGAGACCGGAGCGGCGCAUGCUGCUUUGGUGAAAGGCGCUCCUUUUGGAGUGUCGCACGCGGAGGGGUCCAUGGCCUAUCAGCUUGUUGGUGAGGUAAUGGCUCACCAAGGCUAUGACGGGUAGCCGGACUGAGAGGUUGGCCGGCCACACCGGGACUGAGACACUGCCCGGACACCUACGGGUGGCUGCAGUCGAGAAUCUUCGGCAAUGCGCGAAAGCGUGACCGAGCGACGCCGCGUGCGGGAAGAAGGCCCUCGGGUUGUAAACCGGGUACUGGGGUAUGAAUAAGCGGGGGUAACGCCCCGUGAUGACGUCAACCCCUGAAUAAGCCCCGGCUAAGUUCGUGCCAGCAGCCGCGGUAACACGAACGGGGCAAACGUUGUUCGGAAUUACUGGGCAUAAAGGGCGCGUAGGCGGGUUUUUAAGUCCGCGUUGAAAGCCCUCGGCUCAACCGAGGAAUUGGCGCGGAUACUGGAGACCUCGAGGUCGGUAGGGGGGUGUGGAACUACUGGUGGAGCGGUGAAAUGCGUAGAUAUCAGUAGGAACACCGGUGGCGAAGGCGACACCCUGGGCCGUACCUGACGCUGAGGCGCGAAAGCGUGGGGAGCAAACAGGAUUAGAUACCCUGGUAGUCCACGCUGUAAACGAUGAGCACUAGGAAGGGGAGUACUACCGGCUUCUCUUUCGCAGCUAAUGCACUAAGUGCUCCGCCUGGGGAGUAUACUCGCAAGGGUGAAACUCAAAGGAAUUGACGGGGGCUCACACAAGCGGUGGAGCAUGUGGUUCAAUUCGAAACAACGCGCAGAACCUUACCCAGCCUUGACAUAUGCGAAAGCGCCCGGAAGUAGGCGCCCGAAAGGGUUGCCCAACGGUAACCAAUCCGGAACAGGGUACAGGUGUUGCAUGGCUGUCGUCAGCUCGUGUCGUGAGAUGUCGGUGUUAAGUCCCAUAACGAGCGAAACCCUUGCCGUUAGUUGCCAGCGGGUAAUGCCGGGGACUCUAGCGGGACUGCCUCGGAAGACGGAGGAAGGUGGGGACGACGUCAAGUCAUCAUGGCCCUUAUGGCUGGGGCUACACACGUGCUACAAUGGGUCGGACAAAGGGAAGCGAACCUGCGAAGGGGAGCCAAUCCCACAAACCGGUCCCCAGUUCGGAUCGGAGGCUGCAAUUCGCCUCCGUGAAGUCGGAAUCGCUAGUAAUCCCGGGUCAGCCUUACCGGGGUGAAUAUGUUCCUGAGCCUUGUACACACCGCCCGUCAAGCCACGAAAGCUGGCAGCGCCCGAAGUCGUGAGUCUAACCUGUUCGCAGGAGGGCCACGCCCACGGUGAGGCCGGUGAUUGGGACUAAGUCGAAACAAGGUA
This 1530-nucleotide ribosomal RNA is filed under the name metagenome. RNAcentral describes it as "bacterial SSU rRNA". It matches the Rfam family "Bacterial small subunit ribosomal RNA". The record is from RNAcentral.